This 211-nucleotide long non-coding RNA is filed under the name Elaeis guineensis (African oil palm). Its description in RNAcentral is "long non-coding RNA (EGUI_LNC004760)". The record is from RNAcentral. Lineage: Eukaryota; Viridiplantae; Streptophyta; Magnoliopsida; Arecales; Arecaceae.
UGGACAAAGGGUUGUGCUAUGAUUUGGCAGCCUUCUACAAGGGUAGAAAAAAAUGUGGGACAUUUGCUACUAUAGUGCCUUAGCCUUGCAGUCCCAAAGUAUCUAGAAACCCAUGGAUAAAAGAGAGCAAAUGAGUAGGGUGGAUGGAUCGGGUUGAUAGGGGGAAAAAAGAAAUUAAGGUUAUUAGAUUAGGGCAGUGGGUUUGCAUAUA